Molecule: ribosomal RNA, 444 nt
Filed under: uncultured bacterium
Lineage: Bacteria
Description: partial 16S ribosomal RNA
Rfam family: Bacterial small subunit ribosomal RNA
Source: RNAcentral
GUAGGGAAUAUUGGGCAAUGGUCGGAAGACUGACCCAGCCAUGCCGCGUGCAGGAAGACGGCCCUCUGGGUUGUAAACUGCUUUUAUCUGGGAAGAAAAAGGCCAUGCGUGGCAAAUUGCCGGUACCAGAUGAAUAAGCACCGGCUAACUCCGUGCCAGCAGCCGCGGUAAUACGGAGGGUGCGAGCGUUGUCCGGAUUUAUUGGGUUUAAAGGGUGCGUAGGCGGCUGAUUAAGUCAGCGGUGAAAGACUUCGGCUUAACCGGAGCAGUGCCGUUGAUACUGGUUGGCGUGAGUGUCGGAGGGGUACAUGGAAUUGAUGGUGUAGCGGUGAAAUGCAUAGAUAACAUCAGGAACACCGAUAGCGAAGGCAUUGUACUGGCCGACAACUGACGCUGAUGCACGAAAGUGUGGGGAUCGAACAGGAUUAGAUACCCCAGUAGUCC